UUCUCCUCCUCCUCCUUCUUCUUCUUCUUCUUCUCCUUCUUCUCCUUCUUCUUCUUCUUCUUCUUCUCCUCCUCCUCUUCUUUCUUCUCCUCUUUCUUCUUCUUCUUAGCUUAUUUUCCCCAAGAAAGACAUACUUAUCUAAUUAUCCUCCAAAAUGACAUAAUUAUCUAAUUUAGUUCAUUUAUGACAUAAUUAGCUUAGUUAGGUAAAAAAGCAUCACGGGAACCUUGGUUAUCUCAUAACUUAGCGUAUCUUCUUCCUAAAUGACAUAAUAAGUUCAAAAUAAGAAAAGUAUUGUAAUCAUCCUCUUCCUAUCCUUCUCCUUAUCCUUCUCCUUCUUCUUCUUCUUCUUCUCCUCCUCCUCCUUCUUCUCCUCCUCCUCCUCCUCCUUCUUCUUCUUCUUCUCCUCCUUUUUCUUCUUCUCCUUAGCUUAUUUUCCCC
RNAcentral lists this long non-coding RNA (441 nucleotides) under Hordeum vulgare. Its description in RNAcentral is "long non-coding RNA (HVUL_LNC015475)". The record is from RNAcentral. Lineage: Eukaryota; Viridiplantae; Streptophyta; Magnoliopsida; Poales; Poaceae.